UGAAUCCUUUUGAAGGGACAGUUCAGCAGUGUUCAUUCACACUGGUGUGCAGCCGAUCUCCAGAACUGUUUUCAUCUUGCAGAGACUUUAUAUUCAUUAAACAACAACUCCUCAUUCCCCGAUCCGCCCCCCAGCCCCUGGCAACCACUAUUCUACUGUCUCUAUGAAUUUAACUACUCUACUCUGGAUACCGCAUAUAAGUGGAAUCAUACAGUACUUUCCUUCAGUUGUAACACAUGUAUCACACUAGUGCAGGAUGUGAAUGAUUAAGGAGGGCGUGUUAGGGUGUAGGGAAUUAGUGUACAGAGUCCCCAUUAGAGUAGACCGGCACUUUCUGUACUUUCCGCGACAUAUUUUUUUUCUGUAAAUCUAAAGCUGUUUUUUUUAAAAGGCUGUUAAUUUCUUUUUAAAGGAUAACAGAUGCCAAUCAGGCAAAAACCACAGGUGUCCAUUAUAUGAGUCCUUUGCGGCAGCAGGUGUCCAUUCUAAAAAUAGUUUGCACGUCUGGGGGUGAUUACGGAGACUGGAAGGGAUAAUGAAGGUGUGUGCCCUUUGCAGCCUCAAGUAUCUGAGACCAAGGUCAUUCACGAUGCCUGGGCACACGGUUUCUCUCUCCCUGUGAUGUCGUUCUCGAGACCGCUCCUAUGACUGCUGCUGCGGAGACACGGAGCCAAUCCAGAGCGGACUGCCAGUGACGACACCAGUCGCCAAGGCCUCCAAGGGCCCAGAACAUAGUGGCGCCCUCUGGCGGGGAAAGGGAGGCAGUAUGUGAGAGACAGCCAAUCUGGUCAGCUGACUUCGGCCAAGUUCCAGUGCCUGGUGCAACACCCCCUGGCAACUCAAGUCACUUUCCAUCUCCAGAAACCCGACCAGAAGAGAGACAUGCUGAGAGGAAGCAAAGAUCAAGAAUCCUGGCAUCCAAUCAGAUACAGGAAUUAACGCAACAGCCGUCCAAUCAGAUGAGCGGAUCCAACCAAAUAGAGCAGCGUGAGGCGCGAUAAAAGGCGGGAAAAGCCUGAGGCGAAGCGUGAGGUGAGACGACCAGGUGGACCAGGGGGACGACCGGGUUGACUGACGGACCCAUGGAC
RNAcentral lists this long non-coding RNA (1088 nucleotides) under Sus scrofa (pig). Its description in RNAcentral is "lncRNA (ENSSSCG00070026848.1)". Lineage: Eukaryota; Metazoa; Chordata; Mammalia; Artiodactyla; Suidae. The record is from RNAcentral.